AGAGUGAACGCUGGCGGUAGCCCUAACACAUGCAAGUCGAACGGCAGCACAGUAGGAGCUUGCUCUUACGGGUGGCGAGUGGCGGACGGGUGAGGAAUACAUCGGAAUCUACCUUUUGGUGGGGGAUAACGUAGGGAAACUUACGCUAAUACCGCAUACGCCCGUUCGGGGGAAAGCCGGGACCAGCAAUGGCCUGGCGCUGAUAGAUGAGCCGAUGUCGGAUUAGCUAGUUGGUGAGGUAAUGGCUCACCGAAGGCGACGAUCCGUAGCUGGUCUGGAGAGGAUGAUCGAGCCACACUGGAACUGAGACGUACCGGUCCAGACUCCGUACGGGAGCAGCAGGUGGGAAAUAGUUGGAACAAGUCGGGACGCGAACGCC
This 379-nucleotide ribosomal RNA is filed under the name uncultured soil bacterium. RNAcentral's name for it is "bacterial SSU rRNA". It matches the Rfam family "Bacterial small subunit ribosomal RNA", at positions 26 to 391 of the family's 1533-position model. The record is from RNAcentral.